This 75-nucleotide transfer RNA is filed under the name Candidatus Microgenomates bacterium. RNAcentral describes it as "tRNA-Glu". It matches the Rfam family "tRNA". From Rfam's summary of the family: Transfer RNA (tRNA) molecules are approximately 80 nucleotides in length. RNAcentral also lists the same sequence under 1 other name. Lineage: Bacteria; Candidatus Microgenomatota. The record is from RNAcentral.
GCCGCUAUCGUCUAACGGUUAGGACACAGGAUUCUCAAUCCUGCAAUCGGGGUCCGAUUCCCCGUAGCGGUACCA